CACUAGUUGAGAGUUGUCGCUGGUUUCCUGAUGAGUCCAAGGCAAGACAAAACCAGUA
RNAcentral lists this non-coding RNA (58 nucleotides) under Helianthus annuus (common sunflower). The record is from RNAcentral. Lineage: Eukaryota; Viridiplantae; Streptophyta; Magnoliopsida; Asterales; Asteraceae.